UCCAGAUAAAAAAUUAGCAGAGUUGAUGAAAAUUAUUCUCAAUAAAAGGGGAUGACGCUCGUCGACGCGAAACGAAGUUAAUUAGUCUAGAGAACACGGGAGCAACCGAUUGAGACCAAUCGCAUUGACAAUAUUGUUUUGCGCUCCAUCCUCUACUCACAAAUAGUUUUGCAGUCUAGUGACGUAUAUAUCUCUCGUAAGAGAUCGAUCCAGAAUCCCUUUUACAUACUUCGGGAUAAGUGAAAAAUGAUUCUACACUUCGGGGUAUCAAAUCUAUCAAUCAAUUCGGAUGGAAAGAAUUUUGCGGUUAUGACUAAGCCACGGAAAAUUGGAUAAUCACUCGAAGGGUAUUCGAGGAAUUAACUCGAAGGUUUAUAGUAUCAAAGCUGAUCUACGAGCUUCAUAGUCGAGACAUUGACGUAAGCCGACGUCCGUUCGUCUA
This is a long non-coding RNA of Cotesia glomerata, 442 nucleotides long. RefSeq lists it as uncharacterized. Lineage: Eukaryota; Metazoa; Arthropoda; Insecta; Hymenoptera; Braconidae. The record is from RefSeq and is a predicted model, not a curated record. The transcript is spliced from 4 exons.